Long non-coding RNA from Stegodyphus dumicola, 428 nucleotides. RefSeq lists it as uncharacterized. The record is from RefSeq and is a predicted model, not a curated record. NCBI's taxonomy places the organism in Eukaryota, Metazoa, Arthropoda, Arachnida, Araneae, Eresidae.
GUAAGAACAGCGGCAACUGUUUGGCUUCCUUCGAGUCAAGUGCAAAACUACUUCGAAAGAAAGAAGGUGGUAAAACUUUGCUUUCAUGAUGAUCUCGAAUUACAUUGUAUCCGCAGUCAUGUUUGCUGCAUAUGUGACCUAUGUAGCAGCUGCUAGACUUCCUGGUAUUCCUGGUCGCUAAAUAUCAGAUAACGGAGGUUAAGACUCCAUAAAAUGAUCCUCCAAAUUAGCAGCAUUAAGGCAGACGACUUUACCGAAGACCUGGCUUUAAUAUUAAUGAAACAUAUUCCAAGUACUCCACUCGAAAUGUUUUCAUAUUUCACCUGCAUGUAUAAUGCUUCCUUUGUCAAAAAUAUGCCUUUUAUAAUGUGAUAUUUUCAAAUAAUUUCAGACUGGUAAUGAAACAAUAAAAAAAUGUUUUGCUGCUA